RNAcentral lists this transfer RNA (71 nucleotides) under Marseillevirus LCMAC101. RNAcentral describes it as "tRNA-Met". It matches the Rfam family "tRNA". From Rfam's summary of the family: Transfer RNA (tRNA) molecules are approximately 80 nucleotides in length. The record is from RNAcentral. Lineage: Varidnaviria; Bamfordvirae; Nucleocytoviricota; Megaviricetes; Pimascovirales; Marseilleviridae.
GCUCCUAUAGCUCAGUGGUAGAGCAGCGGUCCCAUGAUCCGCGGUCCGAGGUUCGAUUCCUCGUAGGAGAA